UACGGAGGGGGCAAGCGUUGUCCGGACUUACUGGGCGUAAAGGGUGCGUAGGCGGUCUUGUGCGUCGGUGCUGAAAGCGCCCGGCUUAACCGGGCGAGGCGUGCCGAUACGACGAGACUUGAGGGGCAGCGAGGGUGGCGGAACUCCUGGUGUAGUGGUGAAAUGCGUAGAGAUCAGGAAGAACACCCGUGGCGAAAGCGGCCACCUGGCUGCCAACUGACGCUGAGGCACGAGAGCGUGGGGAGCGAACCGG
RNAcentral lists this ribosomal RNA (253 nucleotides) under uncultured bacterium. RNAcentral describes it as "partial 16S ribosomal RNA". It matches the Rfam family "Bacterial small subunit ribosomal RNA", at positions 524 to 776 of the family's 1533-position model. The record is from RNAcentral.